CUGCCUCUUCUCAGGUGACUUUCUGGGUUUCUCUCCAAGCCACCCACUGCCUCCCAGAGCCCCAUCUCCUGAGGCUCCGGGCCCUUGGCUUCUCAGAGGAGCUGAUUGUGGAGUUGCACACGCUGUGUGACUGUAAUUGCAGUGACACCCAGCCCCAGGCUCCCCACUGCAGUGAUGGCCAGGGACACCUACAAUGUGGUGUAUGCAGCU
Molecule: long non-coding RNA, 210 nt
Filed under: Homo sapiens (human)
Lineage: Eukaryota; Metazoa; Chordata; Mammalia; Primates; Hominidae
Description: non-protein coding lnc-CSAD-1:4
Source: RNAcentral